RNAcentral lists this ribosomal RNA (392 nucleotides) under uncultured bacterium. Its description in RNAcentral is "bacterial SSU rRNA". It matches the Rfam family "Bacterial small subunit ribosomal RNA", at positions 538 to 929 of the family's 1533-position model. The record is from RNAcentral.
GCGUCGUCCGGAUCUAUUGGGCGUAAAGCGCGCGCAGGCGGAUAGGUCAGUCUGUCUUAAAAGUUCGGGGCUUAACCCCGUGAUGGGAUGGAAACUGCCAAUCUAGAGUAUCGGAGAGGAAAGUGGAAUUCCUAGUGUAGCGGUGAAAUGCGUAGAUAUUAGGAAGAACACCAGUGGCGAAGGCGACUUUCUGGACGAAAACUGACGCUGAGGCGCGAAAGCCAGGGGAGCGAACGGGAUUAGAUACCCCGGUAGUCCUGGCCGUAAACGAUGGGUACUAGGUGUAGGAGGUAUCGACCCCUUCUGUGCCGGAGUUAACGCAAUAAGUACCCCGCCUGGGGAGUACGACCGCAAGGUUGAAACUCAAAGGAAUUGACGGGGGCCCGCACAAG